RNAcentral lists this long non-coding RNA (1045 nucleotides) under Equus caballus (horse). RNAcentral's name for it is "lncRNA (ENSECAG00000050572.1)". The record is from RNAcentral. Lineage: Eukaryota; Metazoa; Chordata; Mammalia; Perissodactyla; Equidae.
UUCUCUCAUCUCUUGUCUCUGCAAACUUAUUAAGUGAACAGGGAAUUUGCACCAACGUUACAAGGCUCCUGAGCAUCACAGCCUGGCCACAGGUAUGAGCAGCAUUCCAGGCUCGUAUGUGGGAGCAGAAUCAUCAAGAUUUUAAUUGAAGAAAACUACUAUGAAAUUUAGCAUGAGAGAGUCGACGGCGGGUUCAGACCCUCGAGGGAUCACAGAGAGCCAUCCUACCCCACGCUUGGAGGAAGAAGAAUUGGAAAUAUUUGGUGAAGAGUAUUAGUAUCAACUACAAACGACCUUCCUCACUGGACCAGCUGGAAGUCAUAACUUCUUACCUGACUCUCACGCUGACUCAGAGGUCCUUGAAUGAAAUGGUGAUGCUAAUGAACACAACAUUUUCAAAGAGAACAGAAGAAGACGGAGACAGAGAAACACCAGGGCGUGGAAAGCAAACCAAGCAGAUGACCUGCUCGCCUGCAAAGAGAUCUGGCUGUCCGUCUAAAACAAGAAGAAGGAAGAAUACUUUUUAAAGUUAUACAUUUCUGGUGUUUUGGAAAAGAUCAAUGUUUGUCAGUAUGAUACUUGUAUGAUUUAAAAGGAAAAUUGUAGGUGUACCAUCCUUUCAAUUAAAACCAGGGAAAAAUGUUAAUGGACAAAUGAGCAGGGUUCAACUUGUAGGCCGUUCUCAUUAGAGCAGUUCUCUCUUCUCUAAGUGAUGACUAGAAAGAUGUAUUUGAUGCCUAGGAGCUUUGAGAUCCGUUCACCGUAGUUUGCGGAGUGGGGGGAAGUAAGUAAACCUUUUAAGAACACUGAAUUCCUAAUAUUUUUAAUUUAUAGUUAAUGAUUGGUUUUUAACACACAAACUACCAUAGUGGUAUCUGGAAUGAAAUCAUUGAUUAUUGAAGUAGGAAGGAACCUUAGACAUGGGCUAAUCUUCAGAACUGAGCCUCAAUCAGGCUUAGCUUAGUCAUUAGGAGCAUAGGAAGUUUUGUUACACGAAACUUAGGGUAAGGUGUUAGUUUCAUGAUUAACUGUAGCAUGGCCAGGG